UCUCGGGUGACGAGCGGCGGACGGGUGAGUAAUGUCUGGGAAACUGCCUGAUGGAGGGGGAUAACUACUGGAAACGGUAGCUAAUACCGCAUAAUGUCGCAGGACCAAAGUGGGGGACCUUCGGGCCUCAUGCCAUCAGAUGUGCCCAGAUGGGAUUAGCUAGUAGGUGGGGUAACGGCUCACCUAGGCGACGAUCCCUAGCUGGUCUGAGAGGAUGACCAGCCACACUGGAACUGAGACACGGUCCAGACUCCUACGGGAGGCAGCAGUGGGGAAUAUUGCACAAUGGGCGCAAGCCUGAUGCAGCCAUGCCGCGUGUGUGAAGAAGGCCUUCGGGUUGUAAAGCACUUUCAGCGGGGAGGAAGGCGUUAAGGUUAAUAACCUUGGCGAUUGACGUUACCCGCAGAAGAAGCACCGGCUAACUCCGUGCCAGCAGCCGCGGUAAUACGGAGGGUGCAAGCGUUAAUCGGAAUUACUGGGCGUAAAGCGCACGCAGGCGGUCUGUCAAGUCGGAUGUGAAAUCCCCGGGCUCAACCUGGGAACUGCAUUCGAAACUGGCAGGCUAGAGUCUUGUAGAGGGGGGUAGAAUUCCAGGUGUAGCGGUGAAAUGCGUAGAGAUCUGGAGGAAUACCGGUGGCGAAGGCGGCCCCCUGGACAAAGACUGACGCUCAGGUGCGAAAGCGUGGGGAGCAAACAGGAUUAGAUANCCUGGUAGUCCACGCCGUAAACGAUGUCGAUUUGGAGGUUGUGCCCUUGAGGCGUGG
RNAcentral lists this ribosomal RNA (764 nucleotides) under uncultured Enterobacteriaceae bacterium. RNAcentral describes it as "SSU rRNA". It matches the Rfam family "Bacterial small subunit ribosomal RNA", at positions 82 to 842 of the family's 1533-position model. Lineage: Bacteria; Pseudomonadati; Pseudomonadota; Gammaproteobacteria; Enterobacterales; Enterobacteriaceae. The record is from RNAcentral.